Molecule: long non-coding RNA, 2259 nt
Filed under: Coffea arabica (coffee)
Lineage: Eukaryota; Viridiplantae; Streptophyta; Magnoliopsida; Gentianales; Rubiaceae
Description: long non-coding RNA (CARA_LNC000396)
Source: RNAcentral
GGCUGUAGCGAGCCGAGCUGAGCAGGCGCAACCGACCUGCGAGAGGAGGCCGAGCUAGCGUACCUACAAGGGAAGAUCAAGUGCGGGACUGAUGUCCCCGGAAUAUCUCCGACGAUCAAGUCAGUGAGCUUAUACUCGGAGCAAUAGUCUAGAAUACUUGUGUUUGCGUACCUUGUAUAGUCCUUACGCUGAUUAUAUAUAGAGCAGAAUGGGUUGCAGUUUCCUUAUUGGAGUCAGCGUCCCCUUAGGGUUCGGAGUCUUCUUAGGGUUUCGUGCGGCGGCUCCUACAAGUUCGGAGACGGCGGCCCAUAGGCCCAUCUCAAGAAUCGAUAAGUAAGGCCGAGCUGGCCUCCAUAUGCCGAGCUUGCGCCUGCGAGUUGCGAGGUCUCACAGCCGACCUGGCGAGCAAGACCUGCCGAGCUGACACGUGGCACGCGCAGGUUCACCCCACUACACUAGCCCCCUUGAGUCUAGAGUCACUGAUGAGCCAUGUGGGUCUGGACCAAACUUCGAAGCGUCACGUCGGCUUCGUGCGGGACCCACAAUCCCACGACCACGUAUCUCCUCCGAAAAACUGCCACGUCCGCCGUCGUAACCGUCACUUCAAGGGUCACGUCCUUCAUGAUGGCGGUUUGUCAGCUCACGCGUCUUCCAAGGUAACUGCUCCUUUGCAAUAAAUCCGAAUUUAUUCCUCGGGACUCUCCGGCUUCCCGCCCAGGGAGCCUAUAAAUAGGCCCCACCAAACGUCACUUUCAAGCCUUCCUUUUCAUUUUCUCUUCUCCUCCAGUCUUCCUCAGCUCGCUCCGCACUCCGUGAGGUCGUCCGAGAGUAGGAUUACCUUCUAAGCACACUUCAGCUCUUCUCCUCUAUCCGCCAGUAAGUCCUCUCCUUCCUUUUAUGUCGUCUUCCUCCGCACACUCAGACCUUACUAGCUCAGUACCUAGGCGUAGGAUUACCCGACCUGCAUUCAUAGAAAUACCUUCCUCCAGCCCCUCUUCUUCCAGCUCGUCUGACUCUGAAUAUCUCGCUCCCCCAGCCCCACCUCUUGCUACAGCCAUGGACCAACCUGGCCCAUCUGCUCAGCCCGGGGCUGGAGCUGCUGUCCCAGGGAUCCCUCUGGAGGUAGCCCCAGCUCGCUCUAGGGUAGGACCCCCUAGGGGGCCAGACAUCGACUUUGGAGAAGUCGAAAUUAUUCCCCCCCUUCUCGACCAGGGGGACGUAGAUGAGCUAGUGGGGAGGUAUGACAUCCUUCCCCAGUUCGAGGCUAGGGCAGCCCGGCCAGGGGAGUACGCUUGCCUACCUCCCCCCGGGUUUGUAGCUAUCUACAGGGAUCAGCUCGUGGCUGGCCUUCGCCUUCCUAUUCCCCAAUUCCUUUACGACAUCCUGACCUUUUGGGGCAUUCGAAUCACCCAGGUCGUUCCCAACGCCAUUCGGUCCAUUCUCGGCUUCUUUAUUUUAUGCCGAGCUCUUGAAAUCCCUUAUUCCCUGAACUUAUUUAGGUCCUUCUUUCAGAUGAAGGUAAGUGGCCCAGUUCACGGUUGGUUCUACUUUGCUCGCAGGAGCGGAGGGGAACUUCCUACCCGCGAACUGUUCACUCAUAUGCCUUCUUCCAUCAAGGGCUGGAAAGCCUACUUCUUUUUUGUGAAGAAUACUGGGUUUCCUCCCCUAACCUGGAGAGAGGAUACCCAAGUAACCGAUCCAAUCCCUUCUCCUCUGCCCGAGGCCGAGCUAGACCGCUUGGUCAGCUCGGAAGCUCAACUGAAGGUGAAGGAAUUUAACAAUGCCCAGCUCUGGUCGGCGGGGCUAAUCCGAGCAGAGGUGAACGACCCUGCCCCCGAUCUCAAAAACCAGAUCCGAGUUGGGCUGUAGCGAGCCGAGCUGAGCAGGCGCAACCGACCUGCGAGAGGAGGCCGAGCUAGCGUACCUACAAGGGAAGAUCAAGUGCGGGACUGAUGUCCCCGGAAUAUCUCCGACGAUCAAGUCAGUGAGGUUAUACUCGGAGCAAUAGUCUAGAAUACUUGUGUUUGCGUACCUUGUAUAGUCCUUACGCUGAUUAUAUAUAGAGCAGAAUGGGUUGCAGUUUCCUUAUUGGAGUCAGCGUCCCCUUAGGGUUCGGAGUCUUUUUAGGGUUUCGUGCGGCGGCUCCUACAAGUUCGGGGACGGCGGCCCAUAGGCCCAUCUCAAGAAUCGAUAAGUAAGGCCGAGCUGGCCUCCAUAUGCCGAGCUUGCGCCUGCGAGUUGCGAGGUCUCACAGCCGAC